UGGGGAAUCUUCCGCAAUGGGCGAAAGCCUGACGGAGCAACGCCGCGUGAGCGAGGAAGGCCUUCGGGUUGUAAAGCUCUGUUAAACGGGACGAAGAGGCGAGGGUGAACAGCCUUUGCUGAUGACGGUACCGUACGAGAAAGCCACGGCUAACUACGUGCCAGCAGCCGCGGUAAUACGUAGGUGGCAAGCGUUGUCCGGAAUUAUUGGGCGUAAAGGGCGCGCAGGCGGUUGCGUAAGUCCGUCUUAAAAGUGCGGGGCUUAACCCCGUGAGGAGACGGAAACUGGGCGACUGGAGUGUCGGAGAGGAAAGCGGAAUUCCUAGUGUAGCGGUGAAAUGCGUAGAUAUUAGGAGGAACACCAGUGGCGAAAGCGGCUUUCUGGACGACAACUGACGCUGAGGCGCGAAAGCCAGGGGAGCGAACGGG
This 428-nucleotide ribosomal RNA is filed under the name uncultured bacterium. RNAcentral's name for it is "bacterial SSU rRNA". It matches the Rfam family "Bacterial small subunit ribosomal RNA", at positions 355 to 776 of the family's 1533-position model. The record is from RNAcentral.